RNAcentral lists this ribosomal RNA (253 nucleotides) under uncultured prokaryote. RNAcentral's name for it is "partial 16S ribosomal RNA". It matches the Rfam family "Bacterial small subunit ribosomal RNA", at positions 524 to 776 of the family's 1533-position model. The record is from RNAcentral.
UACGGAGGGGGCUAGCGUUGUUCGGAAUCAUUGGGCGUAAAGGGCGCGUAGGCGGCCUGCCAAGUCGGAUGUGAAAUCCCUCGGCUCAACCGAGGAACUGCACUCGAUACUGGUUGGCUAGAGUCCGGGAGGGGAUGGUGGAAUUCCCAGUGUAGCGGUGAAAUGCGUAGAUAUCUGGAGGAAUACCGGUGGCGAAGGCGGCAUCCUGGACCGGCAUUGACGCUGAUGAGCGAAAGCCAGGGGAGCAAACGGG